RNAcentral lists this ribosomal RNA (353 nucleotides) under Escherichia coli. Its description in RNAcentral is "bacterial SSU rRNA". It matches the Rfam family "Bacterial small subunit ribosomal RNA", at positions 1174 to 1526 of the family's 1533-position model. Lineage: Bacteria; Pseudomonadati; Pseudomonadota; Gammaproteobacteria; Enterobacterales; Enterobacteriaceae. The record is from RNAcentral. RNAcentral also lists the same sequence under 1 other name.
UGGGGAUGACGUCAAGUCAUCAUGGCCCUUACGACCAGGGCUACACACGUGCUACAAUGGCGCAUACAAAGAGAAGCGACCUCGCGAGAGCAAGCGGACCUCAUAAAGUGCGUCGUAGUCCGGAUUGGAGUCUGCAACUCGACUCCAUGAAGUCGGAAUCGCUAGUAAUCGUGGAUCAGAAUGCCACGGUGAAUACGUUCCCGGGCCUUGUACACACCGCCCGUCACACCAUGGGAGUGGGUUGCAAAAGAAGUAGGUAGCUUAACCUUCGGGAGGGCGCUUACCACUUUGUGAUUCAUGACUGGGGUGAAGUCGUAACAAGGUAACCGUAGGGGAACCUGCGGUUGGAUCAC